GUGGGGAGCAGGAUUGUCCCUGAAACUGGUGGGGUGAACCUGGAGUGCUUAGGAGGCCUCUGGAAAUCCAUAAUAGCUCCUCCAGCAAAAUCUUCUAGGGGCCAUGUUUUUACCUUCUUAUGAAUAUAUGUGUUUUUACCCAAGGCAGGGACAGUUCCCAGAGCUCUGAUGUGUCUCUCCCAGACUGUUAAGCUUAAAGACAGCUGCUGUGGACGGAGUGACAAAAAGUGUGUUCAGGCCUCUCCUGUGACAUCCAGAGCCCCUCAGUUCACUCUCAGCAAAGGUGUCUGAUGUUCCCUGUGAUCCUAUGGGCUCAAUGUGAAGAUCAGCUAAGCCCAGCCCAGCCCUGCACACCAGGACCCUGUCCCUGCACUGCCUGUGUUCCCUUCCACAGCCAACCCUCAUGUUCCAGUAGACAGGAGGGGACAUCUCCAUCCUGUCACCUCCAUGAUGCCCUGAGCUGUAGACCCUGACUUCCCCAAUGAAAAUAAGGAUCUCAAUUUGAACUUGAUUGUUCACAUCCUUGAUCUGACAGGUUGAUUGGCUGUUAAAUAAAUUAUUGAGAUACUUAGAGAUUGUGGAGGAAAUAAACAUUAAUGUGGAGAGCC
Molecule: long non-coding RNA, 608 nt
Organism: Mesocricetus auratus (golden hamster)
Lineage: Eukaryota; Metazoa; Chordata; Mammalia; Rodentia; Cricetidae
Exons: 2
Source: RefSeq, a predicted model, not a curated record